RNAcentral lists this transfer RNA (66 nucleotides) under Sphedanolestes impressicollis. Its description in RNAcentral is "tRNA-Phe". Lineage: Eukaryota; Metazoa; Arthropoda; Insecta; Hemiptera; Reduviidae. The record is from RNAcentral.
GUCUGGGUAGCUUAUAUAAAGUGUAACAUUGAAGCUGUUAUGAAGAGGGUGGUCCCUCCCCAGGCG